Molecule: long non-coding RNA, 2791 nt
Organism: Homo sapiens (human)
Lineage: Eukaryota; Metazoa; Chordata; Mammalia; Primates; Hominidae
Source: Ensembl
GGUCAUCGUGACAGGCAUGCCUCACACCAAGACGGACUAUCAAGACCUGAGCCGACCUGACUUACAUAAAUGACAAACACUAGUGCUUUACAAAGGUGGCUGGAGUUCUCCAUCUUCUAAAAUCAACAUCCAAUCCCCUUCAGUCAGCAUCUUCAGUAUUCCCUUGAGGACUGGAAAACCAAAGCAGCUACGUCCAUCUGUAACGCACCCGCACCGGACAGGCACGAGAUGUCACGUCCACCUGGCACCAUCCAAAGAGGGUAAAUUGGAGAAAUCACACCUUUCAAAUGUUAAUCUGACACUGUAAACAGCAGUUGAGUUCUCAUUUACAUGGGCAAAGAAAGCACUUUAAACUAUUUUCACAACUUUCCUACGGAAGAAAAGGAAACGAUUCAGACGGUUAAUGGCUAAGUUUUAAACAAAUGCUCUGCAUCACUACUUGGUUAAGAAAUAAUACAAUUUUUGCCCUUGUGUCCCUUUUUCUUCUUGGAUUUUGUUGUCCUCUGACCAAACUGAGGGGUGGGAAGUGCAGAUGGUGGACUAGAAAGGUCAUCUGUAUAGUAGGCAAAUCUCUGUGGCCGGGGUUGAGGGAUUGGUUGUCCAAGAAAAUAUCCUUCUUCUUCCGAGUCGGAAGAGGAGGAGGAGGAAGAACACCAGGAAUCAUCAUCCUCGCCGUAGAGUCCCAGAAACCGAUUCAUUCCUGGGUUCUGCAGGCCAUAAUCGGAAGUGGCAUGGGCGUACUGUCCGUAGAGAUCAGCAUUCUGGAUGUAUGCUUGGAUCUCCCGGGCACUUUUAUUCUGUAUAAAUUUCUCAUAGUUAUCGGGGGUGUACAGCCGCAGUCUGUCCUUGGGAGAGUAUUUUCUUUCUGUAACAAGAUUCAGGGCAUUGUCGGAGCGGGACUUUCUACUUCUCCGGCGGCGGUGGUGAUGAGACCUGGAUCCCCUCUCUUCAAAAUUGUAGACGCGUCUCCGAGUCCUUUCACUCAUCGGAGGCUGCCGGAUUUCAAUGUCAUAGUUCCCAUUGUCAAUGACAUCAUCAGAAAACUUGACCUGCUGGGGUCUGGAUUGAGACUUGGACCUUCUGAGCACUGGCAGAUGUACUGGCUUCUCUUCAGGCAGGAUUUUCUCUGGACACAACUCUGAACUUAGACUCUUUAAGGACUCUGCACUCCUGUGCAGCAUGGAAGAGUUCAAAGUUCCCAUAUUGCUCAUCUUCUCACAAUCUUCUGUUUCCAUCUCCUCAAAAUUUUGCAGAGAAUACAAUGAUGGCCUUGGCUUGUUUUCUCCAUCCACCGAAGCCCCUAGAAGAGAGGCCAAAACAAGAUGUGCUUCUCAAUCAUCCUAAUAUUCGACAGUACUUAAAAAUAUCCAGUGCUCACUGGCUCGAAUAUCCAUCUCAUUGGGCUGUGGCUGAAAGAGGCUUUUAUCACCAAACUUGAGGAGGAGCUGCGUCAUAUAAUCUUCAUGAUCAGCCCAUUCUUCAGGGUCUUCUGGAGUUUCCUGCUCUACUCUGCCUUUCCAAAAUUCUUCACUGGCAAAACUUGUUCCUUGUCUGGAGAGACUCAGAUCAUCCAAUUUUCGAGAAAGGGUGUCAUCAGCAUUGCCUGAGAGGCCAGGAAACUUGUAGUUCAGAGCAGGCGAUAAGAGGAGAGACUGUCUACACUGAUCUGCUGACCGGCUGCUCUUGCCCAUUCGGACACUUCUUCGGGAGUCUCUUGAUCGAGCUGACUGAAAUGCAGAGUCGGAAGAAUCAGAGGCAUGGACGUCUUCACCAAGACUGCACGUUUUUGAGCAGUAAAUCUGACCCUGUUUGGGAAGGAAGGGACAUCCCAACAAAGAGGCUUUACACUGGGCACAAGAAAAGCAGGCUUCCGUGGCGUGCCAGUGCUGCCCGUCAUAGGUCAUCUGUGCAUGGUCCACACCUGUUUUGAAAAGGAUAGAAUAAAUAACAGGUUAUGGUUUAAUGCCUGAAACAAGGUAUAAGGAAGAAACGAAGAAAAUAAAUAAAGAUUAUGGGUAUGGGGGAGCUGUGUGGGUGACACAGAUAUAAUUAAUCCUCAUUCUUUGUGGAUUCUGUAUUUGUGAGUGUGCCUACUCAUAAAAAUUUAUUCACAACUCCCAAACUAAUAUUCGCAACAGUUUCAUGGUCAUUCGCAGAUGUGCAGAGUGGUAAAAAUACGAACUGAACCAACAUGCACUGAUCCAGGAGAUGCUCAGCUUUUUGUUUCAGCUCUCAUACUGUAGACAAGUGUCCUAUUUCUGGUCUAUCUACUGCCGCGUUUUCUGCAUUUUUGUGCUCUUUGUUGGUGAGUUUACUGUUUAAAAUGGCCCCCAAGUGUAAUGCUGAUAAUGCUGAAAUGCUGUCAUGUUGCUAAGGGCAAGAAGGCUGUGAUGUGCCUUACAGAGAAAAGACAUGUAUUACGUAAGCUCCUAAUCUUGAGUACGGUACCACUGGCUGUGAGUUCAAUAUUAAUGCAUCAACAAUGUACAUUCAAUAAGGCAGUGGCUUUAAGCAAAAACACACGUGAAACAAGGUUAUGUAUUGAUGGGUUGAUGAAACUGCUGUGACCAGAGGCUCACAGGAACCUAACCCUGUAUUCCCCCAUGAGCAAUGGUUCAGUGUUCACUAAUCCAGUGUUUGCAGUAACGUCACAGAACACAACUACUGCAAGUAACAAGAAUCAACUCUCUGUUCAUUUGUCAAAGCUCAUCAGCUGGAACAUUUAAGAUCUGUACAUUUCAUUGUAUGUAAAUUAUAUCUCAACUUUAAAAAACAGAAAAAGAAAAAAUAA